Long non-coding RNA from Malania oleifera, 2163 nucleotides. RefSeq lists it as uncharacterized. The record is from RefSeq and is a predicted model, not a curated record. The transcript is spliced from 2 exons. NCBI's taxonomy places the organism in Eukaryota, Viridiplantae, Streptophyta, Magnoliopsida, Santalales, Ximeniaceae.
CUCUCUCUCUCUCUCUCUCUCUCUCUCUCUUUUUCUCCCCCUUGCCCUCUUCUCUACGAACCAAACUAAAAAACCUUAGGGUUUCUACAACUCCUUUCCACUCUCUUAAUCCCUCGUCUUCUUUCUCAAACCUUCCCCAGAAACCCUAAUGCCUGCUACUUGCUCCUUUCCUCACCCCGAAGCUCUCUCUCACUCUUACUUAUCUCUCCCUGCUUUUGAAUGAAACUCAAAUUCAGAUCUUUGAUCCCUGAGACCCUAAAUCAUUCUCUAGUCUCAAAUCUCUCUUAAAUUUUUUUUUUUCUGAAACCCUGGAGCCCUGGAUCUGAUGCUUUCCCUCUUUCUUUCUGAAGGUCUUCGAGUUUUCUUACCCAAAAAAUCUCUCCCUUCUCUAGCUCUUCUCUGAAGGUUUUUGAGUGAAGCCCCAGUUUCUGUCACGAUGGCGACUAGCAAACACCCCCAAAGACGUCUCGGAAAAGAGGACCAAUCUAGCACUCAGGGAGGUCCCCACUUGGAGAAAAAAAGAUAAGUUUUUAAUUCUUCUUUUCAAUUCUCUCUUCCCUUUUUGAUUGUUGAUGUGGCUUGUGAAUGUGAUGUUCUGAUGUGUCAGUGCAUGGUUGUUUCAAUGAUUUUGGGUGGUUUCAGAUCUAGGAUCUGGAAAGUUAAGGUUUUAGGUUACUGGGUCAGGGUUGAAGACGAGUCAUCUCAUCUCAACCCAGUGAGUGGUGUUGGGUUGACUCACACAAGUCAACCCAGGUGAGUUAUGUGACUUGGUUAAGCCCGAAUUGGGCUUUAAACAUGUGUGAGCCUCUGGCAUGUGCAAGGGCCUGAGUUUCUUUUAAGUUCAAGGCCGGUUCUGGGUAAAGUUUUCUAAAAUGAAUGGGCUUCAAGGUUACUCUUUAAAAAUGGGCCUGACUCUCUUUAAAGACAAAUGAGCUUUGAGUGAUUUUAUAAAAUGGACUGGGAGAUUUUCAAAAGGAGAUUGGGCCCAGGGAGUUUUAAAAAAACUUGGGCCUAAGAGGAUUAAAAAUGGGGUUGGGCUUAUUUAGGACAAAUGGGCCUCGAUUAAUUUGAAAACGGGCUUUGGGGUUUAAGUGAAAACAAGGCCCAAGUUGGAUGACUUUGAACUCGAGUUUAAGUUCAGGUCAGGUGGUUUGAUUAAAUGGGUAGGAGUUAAUUAAAGGCAAUGAGUUCGAGUCUCAGGUCAAAGCAGGGUUCAGAUCCGUGGGGUGCAAAUCUGGUUCGGGUAUUCAAUUUGAAGCUUUGGUAGGUAUCGAAGGAUUCAAACUCCGGGCUCGGGUUUAGAUUUAGGAAGUGAUUCAGUUCAGGGUCUUUCUCAGGUUCAGGUUUGAACCCGAGGCUUGGGAUAGGAAUACUUGCAUUCAAACUAACUCACACACAAUCAUCGAUAGACAAUGUAAAAAGUGUAGUUUUGAAUUUUACCCUUCUCUUCUCAUCUCCUCUAGUCUUCUUUUCGAAUCUCUGCGUGAGUCUGAGGGUUCAAGAACUGAAAUCAGGUUCGGGUCAAGCUUUGCUUGUGAUUCUAAAUACUGCUUGUUGCUUGGUGUUCUGAAUUGGAAUUGUUGCUCAGUGCUCUAAAUUUUACCAAGAUUUCUCUUCCUUAUGAUUUCUCUUCUUGAACUCUCAGCUCCUGAGAGUUUCGCUAGUGCUUUCUAAUUUCUCUCAAUUGCUACAAGAGAUUACUCAGCUCUCUUCCCACUCUUUUUUCCUUUCAAUUUCCACAGGGUUUUUCUAAUGCUCUGUAAAAGACUCCCAAUUUAUGGGGAGUCUUGGGGCUUGAUUUGGCGCCAAAACUUAUUCCUCACCAACAAAAUGCCACUUUUUAUUCCUUGCGCUGGUGAAAUCGAAGAUGCUUCUAGCUGGCAAACGGGGAUUGGAAGGCUUUUGUAUUUUUAUUAAUUUUUGUAUUUUUUCUUUGGGAUGUAUUUGCGGUAUUGGAUGCACCCCCUCCCUUUUGUACUACACCCACUCUUUGUACCUUCCUUUUUCUUGUAAUAUUUCAUAUAUUUUGUACCCUUGUAUUCUGCAGUUGUAACAUUCUACGAGUGCCCUCCCCUGUAUGUAUUUUCCAUGCAACAUGUGUCCCUUCUUUGUAAAAAAGUGACCUCAUGUAUUUUUUCCUUAAUAAAGUGUGACCUGAAUUUU